Long non-coding RNA from Thunnus maccoyii (southern bluefin tuna), 2185 nucleotides. RefSeq lists it as uncharacterized. The record is from RefSeq and is a predicted model, not a curated record. Lineage: Eukaryota; Metazoa; Chordata; Actinopteri; Scombriformes; Scombridae. The transcript has 4 exons.
UGCUAGGGUUUCUCGAGAAAAACUCUUCAUUUAAGGGAAGUUUGUUUUUUUUCUCUUAACAGCAGCUUUUUGUUUUUUUCGAGGGAUUUUUUUUGGCUCUAUUUUUGGGAAUUGGCUGUAAAUUAUUUUAGCUCGGGGUUUGAUUUCGCAAGUGCAGUGUCCGCAAAAAUCAUAUUAUGUAGACCUACUUAGUUUAUUACAAGUGAAACUAUGAAAUAAGACGUGAACUUUAAGACAACAUCGUGUGGCAUCAUCAAUUUCACACAUUUUCACACUUUUUUUUAGGGUAAAUAUUCCAUAUGUGAAUUUAACACAUGUGAGAAAUAGCCCAUAUAUUGUACACAAUAUAGCACAGUGUUAGUAGUGACCUUUACUAAAGCUAACUGGUAUGUCUUUUUUUUCUUCAAAGUACUAGUGCAAAUAAGACAAAUAUAGUGCAAAUGGAGCUGAAAGAUGUGCAAGUAAUAUGUCAUCCACAGGAUGAGGAUAUCAGGAUAUUUCCCUCAGGACUUGGUAGAGACCAAGAUAGAGCUGAGAGGAAAGGUCUUUCACCACAGCAACACAGUCUGAGAUAAGAACUGGGUCAGAUGGAAGAGCUGCAGGCAGAGCAGAGGAAGUGAGGUGGAGACACAGAAAGUGCUAGUCACACUGAAGAGAAGACAAGAAGCCACAGAAAGCCCAGGAGAAGAUCACCUUUAUGUAUCCUGACCACUGUCCAUGGUACUGAUCUUGGGGUCACUGAGAAUGCAGCAAAAAGACAGGAUCAUUGUUGUGUUUUCUACUGUAUUUGUGCCUUACUGCUCUGUAUUUAUUUUGGAAAUGCAGAAACUGGUUUGCACUCCGCUCUUCAUUUGUGAGGACUGCAAAGCGUCACUGUUGAUUAGCUGUUAAAAUAGUGUGAUGCCUCUAAUGUGUGAUGAUGAGAAGAUUAGUUACACCCUUAUGUUCCACUUUACCCAACCAUUUAUGUGCAACUCCUAUAUGAACACAACAUUCUCAGAUGUUGGGCAAAGGCUUGCACAUGUGACUAAGCACUUUGCCAAGCCUGAAACAAAAAGGUGUGUUGAGUCUGAACAUGCUCUAUUUUUGUGAAUCAAGACUUAGAACGCCAUUGUCAGCAAAAUGGAAUUAAAGUAAAGUAAAAGUACUCAUUAUGCAGCAGUAUGAUAUUAAUACAUGUUAUAUGAUUUUUAAUGAGUUUUUUCUUUCUUUUUAGCACAGUUAAUAUGCAAACAUUUCAACUGAUAGUCUUUUGUUUUUUAGCAAACACUUAAUUGCCUGACAGUUGCAUGCAAAUAUUAGUGCACACAUUUUAGUGAAACAUCAUUAACUCUGAUAUUUGCUUUAUUUAAUUUAUGUCAUACCUUUGUUCUUUCUCGUGGUUCCACGCUGAUUUCAUGGAUAGCGUAGGGUUAACUGUUUAUUCUUACUGCUGUGUGUGUGUCUUUGUAGUUCAGCCUUAGUCUGUAUAAACCCUCUCUUUGUGGCAUUUGUUAGCUCAGUUAUGAUUAUUUCUGUCAUAAGUUGCUGUUUGUUUAGUUGAACUCAAUUUAACUUGAAGAGUUUAAGAGUACUCAAAUAAAUUUCUCUGGUUUUCCUAUAUUUGUAUUUUGCAUAAUUUGCUACUUUGUUAAUUGCAAGUUAAGUUGUAAAUAAAUUACUAUUUUUGCUUUUCACACCUUGAGCCCUACUGCUUGGUCCCUGACAAUGAUAAUUACUGAUGCAUUAAAAUGUAAGCAUCAUUUUAAUGUUGUAGCUGGUGAGAGGGAGCCAAUUUUAAUUAAUUUACAUAAAUUUGGGCAGUUUAUUCUUUAACAGUUACAAUUAUAUUUUAUAAACUGGUCAUGGGUUUUAUAUGUGCAACCAGGUGGUAAAAUAAAAAUAUCUAAGGGAAAUAAAGUCCAUGUGGAUCAAGUUGUCUGUUGGGGAUCCUUACUUUGGACAGCAGGGGGCGGGGAUUCACCAUGUCUUGGAGUGGGGUUACCCUGGGUUAACCCUGCUGAGUGGUCAGGGAACACUGGGAAAAUACGGCAAGUACAACAUAAUGUGCUACUUUUCUCUUUUCUCUUGGGCAACACAAAUAAAGAAACAACAGAGCACCUGUUUUAUGCUUGUGACACGAUCCAAAGCUUAUGGAAGUCCUUGUAUGAUUGGCUGAGCUCCAAAUCCAUACAUAUAGAUUUCU